Molecule: ribosomal RNA, 562 nt
Filed under: Oenococcus oeni
Lineage: Bacteria; Bacillati; Bacillota; Bacilli; Lactobacillales; Lactobacillaceae
Description: bacterial SSU rRNA
Rfam family: Bacterial small subunit ribosomal RNA
Source: RNAcentral
GGGUAGAAGCCUACCAAGGCAAUGAUGCGUAGCCGAGUUGAGAGACUGGCCGGCCACAUUGGGACUGAGACACUGCCCAAACUCCUACGGGAGGCUGCAGUAGGGAAUUUUCCGCAAUGCACGAAAGUGUGACGGAGCGACGCCGCGUGUGUGAUGAAGGCUUUCGGGUCGUAAAGCACUGUUGUAAGGGAAGAAUAACUGAAUUCAGAGAAAGUUUUCAGCUUGACGGUACCUUACCAGAAAGGGAUGGCUAAAUACGUGCCAGCAGCCGCGGUAAUACGUAUGUCCCGAGCGUUAUCCGGAUUUAUUGGGCGUAAAGCGAGCGCAGACGGUUUAUUAAGUCUGAUGUGAAAUCCCGAGGCCCAACCUCGGAACUGCAUUGGAAACUGAUUUACUUGAGUGCGAUAGAGGCAAGUGGAACUCCAUGUGUAGCGGUGAAAUGCGUAGAUAUGUGGAAGAACACCAGUGGCGAAAGCGGCUUGCUAGAUCGUAACUGACGUUGAGGCUCGAAAGUAUGGGUAGCAAACGGGAUUAGAUACCCCGGUAGUCCAUACCGUAAACG